AGAGUUUGAUCAUGGCUCAGAUUGAACGCUGGCGGCAGGCCUAACACAUGCAAGUCGAGCGGCAGCGGGAGGAAGCUUGCUUCCUCGCCGGCGAGCGGCGGACGGGUGAGUAAUGUCUGGGGAUCUGCCCGAUGGAGGGGGAUAACCACUGGAAACGGUGGCUAAUACCGCAUAACGUCGCAAGACCAAAGUGGGGGACCUUCGGGCCUCACACCAUCGGAUGAACCCAGAUGGGAUUAGCUAGUAGGUGGGGUAAUGGCUCACCUAGGCGACGAUCCCUAGCUGGUCUGAGAGGAUGACCAGCCACACUGGAACUGAGACACGGUCCAGACUCCUACGGGAGGCAGCAGUGGGGAAUAUUGCACAAUGGGCGCAAGCCUGAUGCAGCCAUGCCGCGUGUGUGAAGAAGGCCUUCGGGUUGUAAAAGCACUUUCAGCGAGGAGGAAGGUGGUGAACUUAAUACGUUCAUCAAUUGACGUUACUCGCAGAAGAAGCACCGGCUAACUCCGUGCCAGCAGCCGCGGUAAUACGGAGGGUGCAAGCGUUAAUCGGAAUUACUGGGCGUAAAGCGCACGCAGGCGGUUUGUUAAGUCAGAUGUGAAAUCCCCGAGCUUAACUUGGGAACUGCAUUUGAAACUGGCAAGCUAGAGUCUCGUAGAGGGGGGUAGAAUUCCAGGUGUAGCGGUGAAAUGCGUAGAGAUCUGGAGGAAUACCGGUGGCGAAGGCGGCCCCCUGGACGAAGACUGACGCUCAGGUGCGAAAGCGUGGGGAGCAAACAGGAUUAGAUACCCUGGUAGUCCACGCCGUAAACGAUGUCGAUUUGGAGGUUGUGCCCUUGAGGCGUGGCUUCCGGAGCUAACGCGUUAAAUCGACCGCCUGGGGAGUACGGCCGCAAGGUUAAAACUCAAAUGAAUUGACGGGGGCCGCACAAGCGGUGGAGCAUGUGGUUUAAUUCGAUGCAACGCGAAGAACCUUACCUACUCUUGACAUCCAGAGAACUUUCCAGAGAUGGAUUGGUGCCUUCGGGAACUCUGAGACAGGUGCUGCAUGGCUGUCGUCAGCUCGUGUUGUGAAAUGUUGGGUUAAGUCCCGCAACGAGCGCAACCCUUAUCCUUUGUUGCCAGCGGUUAGGCCGGGAACUCAAAGGAGACUGCCAGUGAUAAACUGGAGGAAGGUGGGGAUGACGUCAAGUCAUCAUGGCCCUUACGAGUAGGGCUACACACGUGCUACAAUGGCGUAUACAAAGAGAAGCGAACCUGCGAAGGCAAGCGGACCUCAUAAAGUACGUCGUAGUCCGGAUUGGAGUCUGCAACUCGACUCCAUGAAGUCGGAAUCGCUAGUAAUCGUAGAUCAGAAUGCUACGGUGAAUACGUUCCCGGGCCUUGUACACACCGCCCGUCACACCAUGGGAGUGGGUUGCAAAAGAAGUAGGUAGCUUAACCUUCGGGAGGGCGCUUACCACUUUGUGAUUCAUGACUGGGGUGAAGUCGUAACAAGGUAACCGUAGGGGAACCUGCGGUUGGAUCACCU
Molecule: ribosomal RNA, 1530 nt
Filed under: Serratia rubidaea
Lineage: Bacteria; Pseudomonadati; Pseudomonadota; Gammaproteobacteria; Enterobacterales; Yersiniaceae
Description: bacterial SSU rRNA
Rfam family: Bacterial small subunit ribosomal RNA
Source: RNAcentral